UCUCUAAAUAUGUGAUGAUAGAAGCGAAGACUUCAUCAGCAUCUUACGUGUGAUUCUGACAAACCACAUGAACUACAAGACACAUGUAGAGUCACAUUUGAUGCAGGUUGGACUCAUAAUAAUCAUAAUAAUCCCACGAGCGAUGAAAGGUUGCACUUAUCACUGUUUUGUGCAUUUAAACAUUAUCAAACUACGCAGAGUUGUUGUCACUGAUGGUUUCAGCCAUAAUGUUUCUAAUUUAUCUCUCAGUUUUACCUUUGGGGCGUUAUUACACUGCAUGAAAGUGGAAGCAGCCCCAUAAGCACUUCCUUCAUAAAACAGGUCACAUCUGCUUCACCGUCUGUGACAGCUGAGAGUUUGAGGUGUCACAAUCUGAAGCCAGAUCAGAGGAUCGUGUGUGUCGUCGUCCCCUCAGGUCACUGUACACUGCAGCAUCAGCUGAUCCUGGACCAGCAUGGAUGGAUGGACUCUGAGCUUUGUUCUGCUUCUGCCAUUAACUGUGUGUUAUGGCAGUGAAGUGACGCUUGUGAAAACUCUCGGCAGUGAACCAGAUGUGACUCCUCUCUGCACCAAUGACUCAAUGACUGUCAUCACACUUAUAAUGUGUAGGAUCAGCAGAGAGAGGAGCAGAGGAGAACAGUGUCAGCUGCUGUAUGAAUAUAAACAGGGCUUUAAACAUCGAUGUGGCUCCAGGUUCAAACUCAUAAUAGAGAAUCAGACUGUGUUCCUCCACCUGAGCAGUUUAACAGCAGAGGACAGUGGGAACUACACCUGUGAGUGUUCACAUCUUGAUGGGACAUACAUUGUCCAUCUCAACAUCACUGUAGAAGCAGACGACUAGAAGCACAGAGGAGUCCACCUCACACGGCGACAUCGACAGAAGACAUCGAGCCGUACAGCACGUUCACACGGAGAGAUUGUGGCCUGUAUUCAACCGUCAAACUGCAAAACAUGCAUCAAUGCUGAUAAUUAGAACAUGUGUAGUACAAGAUGACAAUUAUUUCUGUCUCUGUUUGCAGCCUUUUCGUGUUUUGGUGAAGUUAGAUGUUGUCCACUAGGUGGCAGUAUAUAGCUGCCUCUGCGUCACAUGAUGUUUGACACAGUUCAUUAACCUGCAGUGUUUCUAUGAAGCAAUAAACAAGCAGUUUACUGUCAGUAAAAUUUAAUGAUCUGUUUUUAAAUCAGAUUCAGAAAUAGAAAUAGAAACCUCUUCUUUUUAUGGGUUUCACAUGAAUACAUUUGUUUUCUGAUAUUUCAAUUUGUAACUCCUUUACAGUAAUUCUAAGUCACACUACACUACAUUGUGUUAUUCUGACGUACUAAGCUUCCAAUGUCUCAGUUCAACACUGAUAUCAAACAGUUUCAGAACAGUUGCCAUUUGUUUCUUUAAAACCUUAUCUGUAUAUAUGUAUAUAUG
Long non-coding RNA from Betta splendens (Siamese fighting fish), 1417 nucleotides. RefSeq lists it as uncharacterized. The transcript has 4 exons. The record is from RefSeq and is a predicted model, not a curated record. Lineage: Eukaryota; Metazoa; Chordata; Actinopteri; Anabantiformes; Osphronemidae.